GCUGGGCCUGGUGGCGCAUGCCUGUAAUCCCAGAGGCUUAGGAGGCUGAGGCAGGAGGGUUGCGAGUUUAAAGCUAGCCUCAUAAAAAAGCAAGGCGCUAAGCAACUCAGUGAGACCCUGUCUCUA
Molecule: small RNA, 126 nt
Filed under: Marmota monax (woodchuck)
Lineage: Eukaryota; Metazoa; Chordata; Mammalia; Rodentia; Sciuridae
Source: RNAcentral